UUUCAUGCUACAGGUUAGAAUCAAGAUGUCUGCAUACAUUGAAAAACUGAAUACAUCGUUCAAAACUAUUAAACAAAACUAUUACAAAAAAUAUGGUGUUUCAUUCGUCAGAACGAUCGAACUCUUUCGAUAGCUACGCAUUUUCUAGGUUAUUUGACAUGGUGUAGAUCAUGUAUAAUCAAGACACGAACUCUAAAUGUGGCGAACCUCCUAUUUAGACACUGCAGUUGACUCAUACCCAGUUAUUUCGGGCAACGGCGUGUUUUCGUCCACGCUUACACACUCGUGCGCCGGUACGUCCGGGACGCGCGUGCACACUUACUACUUACGAUAGAAACGCACGCUCACGAUUCCAUGGAUGCAACGCGUGAGUUACAUCAUACUACUGUACCAGUCACGUAAAUACAAGAGGUACAAGGAUUUUCGUAGCAUGAAAAAUCAAAAAAUCACGCUCAACAUUUUAGCAAGCUGCCAGGCGAAACGAGGUUAGGUCACAUGGCAGAUCGUUGUGUGUACUACGUAUAAAAGACACGAUGUUUCGGCUUUCUCAGCUCAUUUUUCACGCGAAGACCCGUAUAUAUACGACAGAGGCUCGUAACAUUCACGUAUAUGUAUACAUACACAUACGUUGCAAAGCUCGUCCCCGUUGCAUGUCCUGCGGUCUGUCUAUACACGCAUGUUCUUUUUUUCACGGUUUUCAAUAACUCGUUCGAGAACGACUCGUACCCCUAUUUUCUCUUCCACUCCAUUGGUCUUACGUGACAAUGUACGCAACAAAACGAUUUCCUUGAUAACGCCACUCGUGCGAGGCGACGAAAUGUACAGCUGCGGACUAUAAUAGAACUAGCAAUACGAACGACCCCUCUCGUCACUGCAUCACGCACGGGAAAAAUAAGUUUUUAUCGAUUACUAACCUACGACAACCAUCUCGCCCGGCAGCGUAGGCUUCGGCUAUAGAACACAGCGCGGAAGCUCGAUACUAAAAUCUGCCAAUAUGAAAAUUUACAACUUCCCUGCAGAAUUAUUGGAUUGGACUUCUCAUUCGACAUGAGUUAAUUACAACCCAGCAUCGUGGAAACUUUUUCUGUCAUAUUCUGCAGUUUGUAAAGCACAAACGGAAUACGGAACUACGAAUGAUUGCCGGGCUACGAGAGACUGAAAAGGAGCCGAGAUUCGAGAUUCACCCGUUCCACCCGUCUGCGCGAAAGUCAGACAAGAGCCCGAGCAAUCCGUUUGGAAGUGGGAAACGUGAACUUGAUAUCGAAGAUCGACGAGCGGUCCUGGUUUUAACGGCCCGUCCGCCAAUCGGUGGCCGUCGCCGAUUCCCUCGAACGAUGUUUUCGGCUGCCGGUUUCUACACUCCUUGGUGAUGGUAGGAUGGAUCGUGUGAACCUGGCCGGGCUACAUGGCAUAGCAUGCCGCGAUGCGGAGACUAUAGUCGCUGGCUAGACUGCACCCCCGCCAGCCGGGGAGAGAAGGUCGACGGAGAUCGUGGAACGGGGGUAGGAGCAGUGGAGACGGCAGGCUCCGGUUGUUCCCCAUAACGAAACAAGAACCGUUGCCCGGCUACUUACAACUCUUUUCAAUCAAUCCCCAUCAAAUGGAACAGCACUCGGUCAAGCCGUGCGGCUCCCCCGUUGCAUAGGUUCCCUGGAAAUUCCAUUCUAUUUGCGAGCUGUUCUCCGGGAACAAGCGUUGCCACUUGGGUUCCCGCGGAAGCGUGAAGCGUUGGGUGCUUGGCGAACGGAUGGAGGAACGGACAGACGGGUGGACAGGACAGGAUACGCAGGGACAGGUGGCCGGUUGACGAUCGUAAGUGGGCAGGAAGGAGGACAUCGGGCCCCUGACGCGCCCGGGGAACGACAGACGACCAGACAGAGAAGCCAACAAACGAUAGAAUGAGAAAGAGAGGCUACAAUUCCGUGUGUCCGUCCGAUGCGUGCAAUGCAAUUUCCCGCAGGGCCGUCUGUCUGUUUGUGCGGUCGUGCAUGCCACUUACGCCAUUGUUCCUCCCCCUUUUCGCAUACAAAAGUGAACAUUCUCGCGAUCACGAUGGAAUAUAACGCGAUCUUGUCCGGUUAGAAUCGCCCCGGGACGUACAUCGGGCCUGGGUCUCUCUACACACCCGUCAGCUUCGAUCUCUCGAUCGUCCAGAAGGAACACACUCCUGCCCGGUGAACCGAGCCUGCCUUCUUGUACACCUUGAUCGUUCCGCCAAACGAAAAUCCGACGCGACUUCCACUUUGUCGCACUACUGUGCAUUCUCUGUGACGCUCGAAUCUUUUAUGGUGUAUACCAUGGGUAUAAAUACAGUCAGUCUAACUGAAACUCCGUGGAUCGAGUCCCAUGGCGAAAUGUGAAAUCACGUACGUGCAAUCGAAACUUGGAGGAGUUUUCUAAUCGUUUAAAACA
Molecule: RNA transcript, 2412 nt
Organism: Frieseomelitta varia
Lineage: Eukaryota; Metazoa; Arthropoda; Insecta; Hymenoptera; Apidae
Exons: 6
Source: RefSeq, a predicted model, not a curated record